Chrysemys picta bellii (western painted turtle) is the source of this 2321-nucleotide long non-coding RNA. Lineage: Eukaryota; Metazoa; Chordata; Testudines; Emydidae. The record is from Ensembl.
AUUGUAGAAAUAGAAUGAACUAAAGAAAUGCUGUAUGUUCCUUUAAGCAGGAAUGAGGAAUGUUGAAAUAAAGUUGUCAGGAAGAGGAACAUUAAGGUAUUGAACAAUGGGUCCACUUAAGCUGAUGGUGGGACAUUAACAGGAGAUUGGUGAGAGUUAAUAAGGACAUGAGAUAUGUGUCUAGCUCCAGGUAAAUUUAUCAGUUCUGCUCCCUUUGUAAUCUUGUUAAUCUCACGCCCUUUUAUCUGUAUAAAUAAGGUAGUUUGAGCCUUGUAUGGCUCUCACAUUUUCUGGGUGUAUUAGCAGAGCGCUUUUGCUAAUAAACAGAGUGGUCUGACAAAUUGUGAGUCCUGAAUCUGACUUUGACAAUGGGCAGGGGAGUUGCUCUAGGUAGCAUGUCUGGAUGUGCCUUUGCAGUGAAGUGGAAAAGGCAACCUAACUCAGCUAAAGAGUGGAAUGACCCACAAGCUCCAGUACAUGUGUGAGGUACAUUCUGACCACCCUUACCCUGUAUCAGAUGAAGGUGGAAAGUGUGGUUGAAGUACUUGGCUGGGAUGAUUUAGCUGGGAAUUGGUCCUGCUUUGAGCAGGGGGUUGGACUAGAUGACCUCUUGAGGUCCCUUCCAACUCUGAUAUUCUAUGAUUCUACUUUGUUAAAUGUAAGGAGCAGGAGCUGGAGGAAAAGAGGGACUGUAUUCACACAGUACAGAACUAACAUUGUUGAAUUGCUCAUCAGCUGCUCCCUUGAGGCAGCUGGCCCCGCCUGGAGUAUUGCGGAGUGUAGGAGCACCACAUCCCAUAACAGAGCUGGCUAUGUAGAAGCACCAACUUCUUUCUUCCUGACGCAGGAGAGGGAUCUCCCCCACCCUCCUGUUGGCGCUCUCUCUUCUGCUGUAGGUUCAUCCCCACCCUGUGGGUCAGGUCUCAUUAGUGGGGUGCAGCUUGUGAGUUGUUCCCUAGGGCUAUGCUGGAAAAUACCCAAGGUGGCCCUGGCUGGGUCUCUGAGCCCAGUUACAGUUUAGCCUCUUCGGUGCCAGAUUCCUGCCAAUCCCCAGCCCAGUCCUGCCAGCCUCUAGUUCGGAAGCACAAGCCAGGUCCAGAAACUGCCCUCACAGGAGUCUGGCUGCUGACUGAGCUCAGGGGGUGCUGCCUAUAGCGCUGCAGCAGAAAAGCACAUGCUCUUGCCCCCUCCAACCCCAGCUUCCCAAGCAGCAGCCAGGCUGCAGGACCACCCUGCUUUUGCUGACACACCUGGCUGGUGGCUCCUCCUGGGAAUCCCUCCUGCCUCCCCGCCAGCCUCCCUCAGAGACCUUUGCCCUGAAUUUAUCCCCAGCAGAGGAGCUGGGGCCAGUGGCCAGGAGCUACAGGCAGCACUAGAUCCUGCUUGCUGAGGCAGUGGAGUGGAGGCCUGUGGUGGCCAAAGCAUACUGCAGCCACUGGAAUUUAGGAAGCCUCCAGAAAGUGCUUGGGGAACCAGUUGGUUGAAGAGCCCAGAGCAGCUGGGUUUGGAGCAUGCACUCGAGCACCAAGCUGCCUGCUCUGCCCAGGACAGGCUAGUUAGAAUUGCCCAGUGAUUAGGGCACUAGCCUAGACCUUGGGUACCAGUUCCUGUUCUGCCAGAGUCUCCACUGCCUUGCUGGGGGCCCUGGCUGAAUCAGUCUCUGCGUAAUGGCCCAGCUGUAUCAGCAGGCCAGCAGUGACCGACCUCACCAGGGAAAGGACAGAGGGAGAGUGAUGUCUAGAGUAACAAGGAAAAUAAUCAAUCCUCCCCCCGCACCCCCCAGUCUUUCAGGCCUUCAGUCAGAGAGCAGCAAGGGACACAAAGGGUACGUCUUCACUACCCGCCGUAUCAGCGGGUAGCAAUCGAUUUAUCCGGGAUCAAUCUAUCACGUCUCGUUAAGUCGCAAUAUAUCGAUCCCCGAACACGCUCGCCGUCGACUCCAGAACUCCACCAGAGCGAGCAGCGGUAGCGCAGUUGGUGGCGGAGCCGCGGCCAUCGAUCCUGUGCCGUCUGGACCCCAGGUAAUUCGAUCCAAGAUACUUAGACUUCAGCUAGGCACGUAUCUUGGAUCGAUCCCCCCCAGCAUAGACCAGCCCAAAGCUCCAACCGACCCUCUGUUCCCAGAUCAGCCCCCUCCCCCCGUUUCUGACAGAGGCAGGAAUUACCCUUGAAGUGAUGGCGCCCCAGCGUGGCUCCGACACAACACUACCCUUCUGGCCCUGGCUGCUCUCCCGUAACAUUGCUCCUGCCUUGCACAGCCCCAGAGGUAGCCGCAUUCAAGUGGGACAUGAGGCUUUAAUAAAUGGAAGAUCAUGGGGACA